UACGAAGGGGGCUAGCGUUGCUCGGAAUCACUGGGCGUAAAGCGCACGUAGGCGGCUUUCUAAGUCAGAGGUGAAAUCCCGGAGCUCAACUCCGGAACUGCCUUUGAUACUGGAAAGCUUGAGUCCGGGAGAGGUGAGUGGAACUGCGAGUGUAGAGGUGAAAUUCGUAGAUAUUCGCAAGAACACCAGUGGCGAAGGCGGCCCACUGGCCCGGUACUGACGCUGAGGUGCGAAAGCGUGGGGAGCAAACAGG
Molecule: ribosomal RNA, 253 nt
Filed under: uncultured bacterium
Lineage: Bacteria
Description: partial 16S ribosomal RNA
Rfam family: Bacterial small subunit ribosomal RNA
Source: RNAcentral